This 477-nucleotide ribosomal RNA is filed under the name uncultured bacterium. Its description in RNAcentral is "bacterial SSU rRNA". It matches the Rfam family "Bacterial small subunit ribosomal RNA", at positions 1 to 507 of the family's 1533-position model. The record is from RNAcentral.
ACAGUCACACGUAGUUUGAUCCUGGCUCAGAGCGAACGCUAGCGGCGGGCUUAACACAUGCAAGUCGAGCGGAGAGCUUCGGCUCUCAGCGGCGAACGGGUGAGUAACACGUAGGUCACGUACCCUUUGAUGGGGAAUAACCUAGGGAAACCUGGGCUAAUACCGCAUAUGUCCUUCGGGAUGAAAGCCUUCGGGCGUCAGAGGAUCGGCCUGCGGCCCAUUAUUUAAUCCUAGUUGGUAGGGUAAUGGCCUACCAAGGGUACGAUGGGUAGCUGGUCUGAGAGGAUGAUCAGCCACACUGGAACUGAGACACGGUUCAGACUCCUACGGGAGGCAGCAGUGGGGAAUAUUGGACAAUGGGCGAAAGCCUGAUCCAGCCACGCCGCGUGGGUGAUGAAGGCCUUCGGGUUGUAAAGCCCUGUCGGGAGGGACGAAUCAAUGACGGUACCUCCCAAGAAAGCACCGGCUAACUCCGUG